This 2106-nucleotide long non-coding RNA is filed under the name Monodelphis domestica (gray short-tailed opossum). RNAcentral's name for it is "lncRNA (ENSMODG00000047813.1)". Lineage: Eukaryota; Metazoa; Chordata; Mammalia; Didelphimorphia; Didelphidae. The record is from RNAcentral.
GAGAUUCAGUACGGACUAAGUUGCCUGAUUUGUUUGAUAGAUAAUUCACUCACUCUUUAAAUUGUUGGAACAAGGGGUUUAUUUAAGGAGGGGAAGGACAAGUAAUUGGAUAGGAGAGAGGGUUUAGGGUUUUCCUGAUCUUGAAUAAUCUUAAAUGGAGAAAUGAAAUUAUAAAGUCUUGGAUGAAAGAUAGUGCUAACAGGAUUUAGGAUCUUUGAAUCACUUCUUGAAAAGAGGGUCAGUAACUUUCAGGUGCCAAAGGAAAAGAAUCAGUAACUCCCAGGUGCCAGGAGAGAAAAGAUUCAGAAAUCUCCAGGUGCCAAGAGCCAAGAGAUAAUAAUUUCCCAGGCAGUUUGGAUCUCUUUUAACUGCCUCUUCCCGGUCACAUUCUCUACCAGAAUGCUCCUUGAUUGACAGCUCUGCAAACUUGCAUCCCCUUCCCUCGGUUUUCAGGCUUUCCUCCAUUUUACUUUUCCACAGAAUCCUGGCAGGAUCAGCUCUCUGACCAUCAGGAGAAAGAACCGGUCCACGCAAGGCAGAAAUGGGUGGGGAGAAAUCGGCGAGGGGGUGGGGACGGGAGGCGGGGCUCAGAAUGACUUCUCAGAAGAGAGAUGCAGGUGGAGGGACGAGGGGGGAGGAUCAGUCCCUAGGGGGCAAGACCGAGCGAUCCAGCCCGGGAACCGUAGGCAGCGCAAAGGCCUCUGGGAAACCACCCCAUCUCCUCCUCCUCCCCUUCCUCCUUCACCUCCUUCUCCUCCUCCAUUUUCGAAUAUUUUUCUGGAAUUGCCUUCUUUGCCAGCUAAGCAGCCUCCUAUGCAUUUCAAGUAAAUAAUGGAGGUGGUGACAUUCAAGGAUGUGGCUGUGGACUUCACCCGGGAGGAGUGGCGCCUCUUGUCCCCUCCCCAGAAGGAGCUGUACAAGGAGGUAAUGCUGGAGAAUGCCCGGAGCCUGCUUUCUGUGGGUAAGGAGCCCUCUCCCUGCUGCCUGCAUCCAAGGGGAUAUCACCCUCAUCAGCAGGCAGGGUUGGGAGCAGUUUUCAGUCAUGAGGAAGGGACAAGGGCUAGACUGCUGAAUCCCAGACCCAAGGCCCUCCUGCUGCCUAGUUCCCCUGUAAAAGGACUUUACAUUGGAUAAUGGGAUCUUGGGGGCUCCCUUUGGUACUCCUGCAGUCCAGGACCAAAUGCAUGUUGGAGAAUCACAGACAUGGAAAUAAUCUCUGAGCUGAUUCCAUCUUGCCUCUCCCUGGCCCAGAAUUGUAUCUCCCAAACACAUCUGGGAAAACUGUUCAGGUGGGUUUUCCUUCCAUUCUCUGCCUCUAGGAUGGAUCUCCUAUUGGGGUUAUAUUUCUCUUUAACCAUUAUCACAGCUCCUCAGUGUCCCCAGCAGAGCAGGAUUGUCCUGAUUCUUCCUCAUAUUUUCCUAAUCCUCCAGUAGAACCUAUCAAACAGUAAUGGAAAGAAUGAAGUGUCUAUAAUGAUCUGCUCUUGGCCAGGUCCUCUGCCGAGGGUUUUCUCUUUAAUAUUAUGUCUCUUCCUCACCUUCAUCUUCCUAAUUCAAUGAUACAAUUAUCCCCAUUUUACAGAUGAGGAAAUAGAGAUUUGAGUUAGUGGUUGUUCUGAGGCACCCACAUAGUUGUCUGUGGCCAGAUUUAAACUGAGCCUUUCCUUCCUCUCAGUUCAGGUCUCUGACUGCUCCCCUUCUAGCUGCCUUUCAUUUCCAGAUAGCAGAAAAGUAUGGCCUGAGACCAGCCUUCUCUGAAGAAAAUGCCCCAAAACCAAAUGUUCUGCUUCUAGAUUGAUUCCCCACCAUUCUCCCAUCUCUUCUCCCUAUACUAAAUUCUGGGGAGACUCUCCUCCAGGAGGCCAUAGAAGCCUCCUACAGCCACUGCUUGCACUGCUAUGUCAUUGUCAGGAUGAAUGCACUGGCUGAGACAGCAUUGGGUCCAACAGGGAUUGUUGAGUUCCCCAGAGGCAGAGUCUCUCCAAGAGAGCAGUCCACAAGAUGGAGGAGCUGGCAGGGCAGGGGGACAAAAGCUGAUUCCUUGAGGUCCCUGUGUCUAGAGCUUCAGAUUGACUCAGAAAAAUGACCCUUGGACCCAGUUUGGGA